CCCUUAGAUGUUCUGGGCUGCACGCGCGCUACACUGAUGCGUUCAACGAGUUUUUGACCUUGCCUGACACGGUUGGGUAAUCUUGUUAAAACGCAUCGUGAUGGGGAUAGAUUAUUGCAAUUAUUGAUCUUCAACGAGGAAUUCCUAGUAAGCGUGAGUCAUCAGCUCGUGCUGAUUACGUCCCUGCCCUUUGUACACACCGCCCGUCGCACCUACCGAUUGAAUGGUCCGGUGAAGCCUCCGGAUUGGCGCGCACCUCGGUGCCGCCGAGAAGUUGGCUAAACCUUACCAUUUAGAGGAAGGUGAANUCGUAACA
Molecule: ribosomal RNA, 316 nt
Filed under: uncultured eukaryote
Lineage: Eukaryota
Description: partial 18S ribosomal RNA
Rfam family: Eukaryotic small subunit ribosomal RNA
Source: RNAcentral